Molecule: unclassified non-coding RNA, 278 nt
Filed under: Glomeraceae sp.
Lineage: Eukaryota; Fungi; Glomeromycota; Glomeromycetes; Glomerales; Glomeraceae
Description: partial contains 5.8S ribosomal RNA and internal transcribed spacer 2
Rfam family: 5.8S ribosomal RNA (bases 1-71)
Source: RNAcentral
GUGAAUCAUCGAAUUUUUGAACGCAAAUUGCACUUUCUGGUAUUACGGAGAGUAUGCCUGUUUGAGGGUCAGUAAAAUAAGAAUCGGUGUUGUUGCUGCUUUUCGCGGUGACGCGUCGGUAUUGAGUUGUCUUACCUUCGGUUAAGUGUCUUAAAAUUUUGCUUGAUUUUUGAUAGUAUUUAAAUUUCUUUUUUAUGUUUGAGAUAUCGAAUUCUUUAUUAGGUUCGUUGAUCCUCAUGAUUCGCACCUUUACUUUUUCAUUAAUUGACCUCGAAUCA